RNAcentral lists this long non-coding RNA (42307 nucleotides) under Phoenix dactylifera (date palm). RNAcentral describes it as "long non-coding RNA (PDAC_LNC004618)". Lineage: Eukaryota; Viridiplantae; Streptophyta; Magnoliopsida; Arecales; Arecaceae. The record is from RNAcentral.
GUUAGUGGAGGAUUUGACAAGUGAAUAAGAGGUAAAUAAAUGUGUAAAUAGAGCGUCUUGGCCAUAAGAAUCGAUGUCAACUCUACAUUGAGCAUUAAACUACAAAAGGAUCUGUUGGAGAUAUGAACCAUGGUCUGCUGUUUUAAUUUGAGCCAAAUUUGAAUGUGGCUAGGGAAAGGAAAUAAUGAAACAAUGGACAUACUUGUUGGCAGACAUGGUUUCAUGUGAAGGUCUGAAGCGAGGAUUCCCAACUAGGUCAUCUUGUAACUGAGAAGCAAGAGUUGGGUGAGCCAUGAGAAGAUUUCAGAGUAUCCACUUGGGGCAAUAGCCCUAUAUAUAUAUAUAUACUUCCAGAAAAGGUUGAAACUUUCCUCAUAUACGGUAGAACUGUAUAAGCACUAUAAAUUUAGGAAAAUGUUUAAACAUUGUUCAAGUUACUAGCUAAUAACUAUGUGAUUCCUUUUGAAUAAAAACCAAGAUUGUUUAAGUAAUUCUGGUGUUUUAAUGUCUUAAUGAAGCAGUUCAAAUUUUGAUUCUUAUGUUUGAGGAGUACAAGUUGGUGCAAGGGUGAAAAGUACAAUAUGAAUCUUUUAGAAUAAUGUAUUAUCAUUGUGGAGAAGAAAUCAUGCACUAUCUUUGAUCUUUGUGCUGCAGAGAGAAAAGAUAUCUUGUAAAAUUAAUCAAUUCAAAGCUGUAUGUUCAUCUAGGCUGUUUGACAUGAAAGGAUUUAGGAUCCAAGUUCAAUCAGGUUAUCAUUCCAUCAUCUUUAUUGAGAUAAUGUUCUUACUUCUUAGUGCUUUCAUCAUUAGGUCCUUCCAAGUUACCCUUGUUUUCAAAGAUCUUGAUGCAUCUCAUAAAUGAAUCAAUAACAAGCUUCUCCUUAUGCUUUGCAGUCCCUUUCAUGGUUUAGCACUUGAGAGUAUGUGAGUGUUCAUAGAAGAAGAUGUACAUUCCUUGUUAUUAUUAGGAGGGGAAAAGAUAUGUAUGAAUGAUUUAAGGUUUACAUCUACUCAAAUUUAGUAAGUUUUGUGGAUCUGUUCUCUAGCGCUGGCUUUUGGAAACCAAUAGCUACUAAAAAUGUUAGCCAGUGGUAGAGCAAAUUUAUCCAUUGCGAGCACAUUUAGUCCUCAACCCACUCAAGAACUUAAUCUUAUCUUCUGGUGCCACGUGAAUUUUGAUAUCCAAGAAGAACAUUGAGAUGGAAGGAAUCCAUAUUUCUAUAGUUGUGAAUAUUUCUAAAUCCUAUCUUUUGUUUGUGUGAGUCGAGUUCCUGGAAGAAGGGAAGGUAUGUGUGGGAGAUGGGGAAAGAACUAGAAGAUUGUUGAAGGUGGAGGAUGUAGCAGGACAAGGGUUUUUAUUUGCUAGUAUUAGCUUUUGCCAUUUUGGUUAGCAAGUUUACAGGCGAUUAUUGCAAGAAUACAUGGCAAGUUGGAGUGUAGUUGUUGAGAAGGUGCUUCAGGCAUUGGUAACCAUGGAAGCAGAAAGUAAAUAUUCAAAGGAAUUACUUUUGUGUUACCUAUGGAGAAGCUUUGUUUGUUGGGCUACUUGUAUUCUGAAUGGUGUCUGCCAUUAUUUGCUGAGAUAGUCUGGUCCAAUAUUUUGGCAUUUGGUUCCAUGAUUGCUGCACGAACUGCAUGCGACAAGCACAAGGAAAACUACCCAAACUUUUCUAUGGGCAAGUAGGAGUGGGUUUUUAAGAACAGGCUUAGAAAAAGAAACUGAAAGAAGUAAUAUUUGAAUAAUGUGUAUGAAGGUUGUCCAAAGGAAUGACUUUUAAAGGUCAUUUAAUGAAUUUUAGAAGAAUGUAUGCAUCCGAUUUUAUAUAUCACGUGAAUUCUGGCAAGCUUCUGCAUAAUGGCUGUUAGAUGCCGAAGCUGGAGCAUUGCAUGAUUUUCGGAAGUGGCAGUUUUGAUAGUCAAUGAAGAAGAAGAUUAUAUACAAUUGUUAGCUGUAAAAAUAUGUUGGACAAUGAUAUGUAGUUUGGCAUAGUUUAUUCAUAAGAAUGUAUGUUGAAUAUUAUCUCAAUCCCAUGCAUGUAAUAUAUGCAUAUAUAAUGUACAGCUUACAGAUGAACUGGUCCACAAGUUGUUCUCUCUCUCUCUCUCUCUCCCCUCCCCCUCUCCUUCUCUUUCUCCCUCUCCCUCUCUCCCCUUUUCCACAAUUGUCCUUAGAAGGGAAAACUAAGAAGCAUAUUUUAGUAGUAGGAUACACUUGAAGGGCCAAUAGAUCGUUUUUUGGAACAUAUCGUAGGUCUUAUUUCUUAUUCUUCUCUUUCACUUCCUGGAAGCUAUAUCACUUUCAAAUUCCUCUUCAUCUUUGCAGUGUUAACCGCUUGCUUUUGUUUAUACCUUCUUUCUUUAUUCUGGAUUUGAUCUUUUCGUCAUGUGGAGCAUAGUUUUAAUUUUUUUUUAUCUUUUCAUUUUCUGUGCUUUACUUUCGGUUUUGCAUUUCAUAUUAACAUCACUUGAAAGAUUGCGUGCAUGUAUGCAUCCUUUCAGAGUUUCAGCUUCGAAUUUGCACAUUUUGAAUCAAUCGAGUGCAUGUUUGUGAAAUUAUAGUGGACAAAGCCUCUUCUCUUUUUACUUAAAAAUGCAGUUGUCUAUGCUUGAAGCUGUGCAAACUCUACCACCCACACCCCAAUCUUUUCCCUAGAGGAUGAGUCCCAUCUUAUUAGGUCACUCUGCAGUUCUUCAUCAGUGCUUUCUGUUAAUGUUGUUUCAGGCAUUCAACAAAGUUUCUGAUUUCCGAAAUGUAAUUCUUAACUUGCUCAUUGAUGGCAUAGUCUUUUUAUUUCAAGUAACAAGAUGACUUAACCCUAUGUGGGGGUGUAAAUGCAGCUUGCAGUCAGUUUACCAUUGCAAAAGAAUCUUUGUUCCCAUUUAAAAUCAGUCCUGGAGGCUACAUGAAACCUAUAAUCCUUAUAAUUUAUUUCCAGCAACUUCUGCAGGAUUUUGCUAUGGUGCCUAGAGAAUGGUGAAUUUGUCAAACUUUUCAGCAGAGACUGUGACUAUUUUCAUGAGGCUUUGACAAUUAGUUUUAUGGUUUGAAUCAGCAUCUUGAAUCCUGUGACUUGGCUAAAAUUAGUGACUUAAGUGCCGGUUAAAGGUCAGGUUCUGGGUUAGGAAUUUGCACCUCCUGCAUUAUAGUUCUGCUUGUGGCCAAAAGUUUUUACAUAAAUCUUAGUAAAGCUUUGUUCUGAUCGCAAAUUUUUUAUUAGUUUUAAUUAAACCAGCAUUUUGUAUCAUGCUUAUUAUGAUGAUUUAAGGAUUAUCAAACUGCCUUUUCCAGGUUAUAUCGAGUUUCUCUCCCCUGCUUUUGGCUGGUUGUGAAGAAGAUCUCGUUUGUCUUUUGAAAGAGGAUAAUGAAAUAAUUAAAGAAGGUAUUACUCAUGUUUUGGCGAGGGCUGGUGGAAUCAUUCGUGAACAGCUGGCGCUGACUUCAAGGUGCAACUGGUUAAACUUAUAAGAUGAAAUUAAGCAUUGUUACUGAAACACGGGUUUUGAUGUGCAACUGGUUAUACUUGUAUGUGGACAUAGCUAUCACUGAAAUAUGGUUUUUGAUAUUCUUUUUUUUGUUUUUGUUUUCAGUUCUGUUGACCUACUGUUAGAAAGGCUAUGUUUAGAGGGUACACGGAAACAGGCAAAAUAUUCUGUACAGGCGCUCGCAGCAAUAACUAAAGAUGAUGGUCUGAAGUCCCUCUCUGUUCUAUACAAGGUUUUCUUGGUCAUAAUUCAUUGUCCAUUAUUUUUUUCAUCUAUCGAACAUUUUUCUUCAAGAAACCUCUUAUUAUUGAUGAGAGUUGCAUUAAAUGGCAUUUACAACUGUGUUUACAGAGGCUUGUGGAUAUGUUGGAGGAGAAAAGACACUUACCAGCCAUAUUGCAAUCCCUGGGAUGUAUAGCACAGACUGCAUUGCCAGUUUUUGAAACCAGAGAGGAAGAAAUUGUAGGGUUCAUAAGGAGUAAAAUCCUGGAGAGUAGCAAUGUAUGGCCUUCCUUAUCAAAGUUGACAGAACUAUGUAUACUUUUUUCUUUGACAAUAUGAUAGGUAUUAAUUGUUUAAUAUUUCAUUAUUUGUAUCAGAUGGAUGAUGGGGUUUCUACACAAACGACUGAGUGGAGUGAAAGGAGUGAAUUUUGUUUAUUGAAGGUAAGUAAGUAUUUUUAUUUUAAACACUUAUUUUCUGGUGUUCAAAAUAUGAUUAUGAAUGUGCCAUACCCUGGUGCAACAGAAUCGUAUUAAUUGCUAUGUACAAUUUUUACUACACAACUCCACUUGCAUUAUUUCCCUCAUGAGCCAUGUUUUGCAUGUAAACUGCAGAUCUUUGGCAUUAAGACUUUGGUGAAGAGUUACUUGCCUGCCAAAGAUGCUCAUUUACGACCGGGAAUUGAAAAACUAGUGGAGAUCCUAAAAAAUAUUCUUUCAUUUGGGGAUAUUUCAGAUAAUAUAGAAUCAAGGUAUUGAAGGAAAUCCAUUGACCUUCAUAUAUAGCGCAUUUGUCUAAAGUUUUUAUUUCCUAUACAUUUUUUGCCUAUUAUUAUAUUUGCCUGAAGAAUAAGGCCCUUUUACAGUGCUGCUGAUAAGGCCCAUUUGAAGCUUGCUUCAGCAAAAGCUGUUCUUCGGUUGUCAAGGCACUGGGAUCACAAGAUACCUGUUGACGUUUUUUAUAUGACCUUAAGAAUGCCACAGGUGGAUUCACAUUCUUUAUUGACUGUGUGCUUUUUUUAGUUUCUCCAACCAUGCCAUCCAAAAGCAAUUAAAGUUUCCUCUUCUUCUUCUUCUUCUUAUUUAGCUUACUCUGUGGUGUUUACUGGUUUUUGUCCUUGAUUUUUUAGGAUAUCCAUCCUCAAUCUAGGAAAUUAUUCCUUAACAAAGUGCAUCAGUAUAUUAAGGAAAGGCUCCUGGAUGCAAAAUAUGCUUGUUCCUUCUUGUUAAACAUAAACGGUUAUCACACUCCAGAAUAUGAAGAGGUCAAUAUUAUUUUUUUUUUAAACUUUGAAGUACAAGCGGCUAAUAGUACUAUGCAUUUCACUCUUACUUGCUUGAGUAAGGACUUUUUAAAAAAAAGUUUGUUCUUCAAUCUGCCAGUGCAAACAAAAUCUACUUGAAGUAGUACAAGUAUGCCAGCAACUUAAGGUACGACAACUUUCUAUGCAAUGCGAGAUGAACAUGCUGGUGGCUUAUCCAGAAUAUAUCCUUGCAUAUUUGGUCCAUGCCCUUGCACAUCAUCCUUCGUGUCCAAAUAUUGAAGAGUGCAUGGAUGUUCAAGCAUUUGAGCCCACUUACUGGUAUGUUGAACCAUAUUUAUUAAACUCAAAAGCCUUCUGUCUUUAUGAUUCACUUUUAGAGGGCCUUCCAUCAGGGCACAUAUUGGUUCUACCAUUGUAACUUUUAAAUUUUAAACUGCACAGUCUAAAACUUCGUAGAAAUGUAUAUAAUUGUUUUUUUCUUUUCUCUUGUUUUUGUUGGGUUAGUGAUGCAUUUUAUGAUUAUAUAUCGUACAAUCAUGUUCUUGUAGGGCAACUCCCUACUGGAAUUUCUAUAUUGAAGUAAUUUCUUCUACUAUGAAAAUUUUCAUGCUUGGACCUUAAGCUACAUGAUGAAAAAGCUGAUAAUCAUGUUACUUGGCUCAUAUUAUAGCUUCUGAGGCUCAUUCCUUGCUGAUCACUGUAUAUUGUUAUCCAGUUCAAUCCUACAAGAUAAUACCUUCUCUGUUGAAGUCUGGUAGGCUGUAAUUGAAAACCUAGCCUUUUUUUUGUCAUUUGUCAUUGACCACUGCAAAUGUGUAUUCUUGCUCCUCUGAAGCACGUGGUUUCAAUUAGAAAUUCAUGUUUAGAUCUCGUUAAAUCCAAUACUUCGAAGAUAUGUGAUAUUCUACGUGUACCAUUUCUGUUCAGUAAUCCAUUAUAUUAUAUUUCCUUUUGGGUGCUUCAGCAAUCUAUAUUUCUUUGUAUUUUGCCUAACAGUUUCAUCUGCACAAGAUGCUUUUUUAGUGCAUGGCAGAAUUGGUUCUUGAGGACAAAUAACUGCUCAAAUUGUACUUACAUUUCUAUAACUCAAAUAUGUAGAGUUUUUUAUUCAACAGUGUCUUUUGGGUGAUCAUGUGGAUGCUAUGUAUGUUACUUAAAGCAUAUGACAUGAGCUUUGCAUCCAAUCUUUGUGUUUGGCGAUGCAUUAGUCAAUGUUGGUCAAUGCCUUUUAUCUUGACACUAGUUGCCUGAUAGCAUAGUUUCAUGACACUAGUUGCCUGGUAGGUGUCAUAAUUCUGAGAAUACAGCUAAAAAGAGAAUUUGAGGAUGCUAUCAUGUGCUUAUUACUGGUUGAGGUGUGUCUUAUCUUGUGAUCGUAACUAUAAAAAUGUAGAAAUAAAACUGUGUGAAGCAAAGCUUCAUGAGAAACUUCGUCGUAUAUGUAUGCUAAUUGUUUUUUGGCUUCCAGGAGGUUGCAUUUGUUUCUUUCUACGUUGUUGCAUGGAGAUGAAGGUCAACAAUCUGGUAGUGUUUCCAACAAGAAAAAGGAGAGUUUUACUGCAAUUGUUUCUAUUUUGCACAGUAUUAAGAGCUCAGAAGAUGUGGUUGAUGGAGCAAAGUCAAAAGUACGUGAUUUUUAAGUCACUUAGUGCUGGAACUUCUUACUGUCAUACCGCAUAAUUGUGCAUUUUAGUUGAUAAGAAUCAUUGUAUAUCAUGAUGAAAAUUUCAUCUCUAUGGUUUGGUGUUAGAUAUUUGAUGACGAGUUUGAUGCCAAAUUUGCAGACAUUACAUGCUAUAUGUGAUCUUGGCCUCGCAAUUGCAAAGAGAUUGGUUCAAGACCCUACAGAUAUUUCAGUAAUCAGCGAAGUUCCCCUCCCAUGUAUGUUAUACAAGCUUGUUGAGAAAAACAAAGAUGUGAGCUCUGUGGUGAGUAUUUUUAACGUAAACAUAUAACCUUUUCCAAUGCCAGGUGAAUGCCAGAAAGGAAGAUCAAUAAUUUCAUGUUUUGAGCAUUCAUCUUGCUAUUAUUGCAAAGUUAUGUUAUUGUCUUGAUUAUUCUAGUGCAUUUUCUGGGGUGCCUUUGAUGUAAUCAUGAGCUGUGGUAGAACACAGGAAUGUUGUGAUUCUAUAUGUCUAAUUUAGAAUUAAUGCCGAGUUAUUUCAUAAUGCAUGUCAGUCAUCAGGCAUUUGACCAAAUAUCUUGACUAGGUAAUACUUAAUAAUGCUAUAGCUACAUAUCUUUGACCCCACGUCACAUCAGGUCUCCAGUAAUAGAAAUGUGAAAAUGUUAUAACAUUUUCCUUUUGUAGACAUACGGUGCAGUUUACCUGAGGCAGCCUUUGUUUUUUUUUUUCCCCCGGAAAUGGCUAUGUUAUAUGAGCGUGUAUCAAUGUUGUUUUUGUUGUUCCUUGUACUUUUGGACCAGUUUCAUAGCUGAAAAAGCUUAUAUGAUACAUGGGUUGACAUAAAAACUGUCUUGCUUGCUCUUUUAUAGCUUCAUGAAUUAGAGUCUUAUCUCAUUAUAAGAAGGUAGCAAGCAUGUUUCUUUUAGAAAUCAAUAUACCUAGUUGAUACAAAGUUGGGAUAUUUUUUUAGCUAUCAAUAUGCAGCCUUGUUAUCUUAUGUUUUCACCAACUAAUAUUGGACAGAAUAAUGUCAGCUAGUUCAUCCUGUUGAACGAGGUUCAAAUUUAAAGUUCGAACGUAUACUAAUUACCUCAAUAUCCUGCUUCUGGAUUUUAUAUUCUGUCAUAUAAUGCUCCUCCAUGUUGUAGCUACUUCUGUUUUUCUUAAAUGUUAUUUCUGGAUUAUUUUUUAUAUGAGAAACAUGAUACCAUCUUUAGUUUGCUGAGAUUGAGUGGAGAAAAAUUUUCUUGCUCUUGCAGUGUCCUGUUGUAUUGAUGGUAAUUUUCCUGUAAAUGUUGUAGGAUGCUGAUGAGCAGAGUUGGUUGGGUGGUGAGAGUGCCUUGGCCCAUUUCGAAGCGCUUAAAAUUGAAAAUAAAGAAAUGGUGAGUGCAUUCAUAUGGAAUUCAGGAACUUAGUUAUUUGCAUGCCUAAUACAAGUCUUGGAUUCUAAUUUUAAGACGUUCUUGUUCUGUGGAACUUUAGAUUGAUUCAGGUGCUGCCAAGGAUGUUAUGGCCCUAGAGGGGAGUGAUAAAGAUGGUGAUGAAGUGCCUCUAGGAGAGAUGAUGAAAAUUCUUAAAUCUCAGGGACCCAAGAAGAGGAAAACAAUCAAAAGGAACACUUCACCUUUUGAUAUUAAAAAAAUGGAACACGAAUUUGAUGUUCUAGGAGUUGUAAGGGAAAUAAAUUUGGAUAAUCUGGAAAGAGCUCAGAACAUGGAAACAGGGACCAAAGAUCCUGAGUAUUUUGGAAGUAGGCAGACGUCAAAAAUAAAUAAUAAUGAAAAAGUUACAGUAUCUGGAAAAAGAAAAAGGGACAAAACAACAAUUGAAGUAGCAGUGCCAACUCCAAAACGUAAAAGGUCUGUUUCUGUGCAAAGGUCUCAUUCUGCAAAGGGCCACAAGGGAAGCAGAGAAAUUCCUUCUUCACAUUCUAUUGAGAUGGAUGAGAAGACACAUAUCCCUUUGGAACAAAAGUUGUUCACAGAUAAAGGCCUGACUGAGUCUACUGAUUCAGACUUGUUAGCCUCUUGCCUGCCAAUGGUUAAAAGCAGCUCAUCUAGAAAUGGAAAAAAAGAUGCUGAUGGUUUGCAUGUUGAGAAACUUAUCAGCAAUGACCAAAAGGUAAUCUCCUUUCUUAUACACAGGCUAACAACUGCCAUUUUCAAGUCUAAAUUACUUUUUGCUGUCGGUUGUAUUGCAGGAAUCCUCCAGUCCAGUAGAUUCUAAUAAAAACUCUAGUCAACCCAAAAGCUUACUUGGUUCAAUUAAAAAGCGUAAAGUAAGAAGCAUUGCCGGAUUAGGGAAGGUAAUCUCAAAAUGUUUCUUUGGCCAACUUUUGAUAGUUGUUCUUUGUGAUUGUCCUAUGUGUUUAUUAUAUAAUUGCCACUGAUGGAAUUAUGUAAUUGCCGGUGAAUUAAAUUAGAUGAUAAACCUCACAAUGUGUUCUUUUACUAUAGUUGAAAUGGUAACCUUCACUCCUGACUUUUGAUUUGGUUCUUGUUUAAUUUACUUAAACCACAGAAAAAUAAUCUAAUCAGGGAUGAUUGAAUCUGAUCAUUUAUCCAAAAAGAAUGAUCCAGUGAUAAACCUGAUAUUCAUUAAACCAAAGUCGUUGAAGCACAUAUCCCAAAUAAUUAUCUUAUUCAUUUAAAAUUUUGGGAAAACAAGACUAAAACAAAAACCGUGGAUUAAUCGCACCAUCUGUUAAUGAAGCAAUCAAGUAUUUUUUCACGUAUAAAUGGCAGGUAGAGAAGGGGUUGGGGGUUGGGAGGGUAGCAAAGCCUGUUAGUUUGGAAUAGAAGAGGGUGGUGGGAUUUAAGGUUGGGGAUGAAGGAUAAAGCUUGCCAAUGGCAGUGGAUGGUGGCUGUUUGUGUAGUCCUGGCUGACAUAAAUUGCAGGGACACCUUGAAAUCUUGUAACUUUAUGCAAUGGCUGUUAUCCGAAGAAGUGUGCCUUAGGUCUACAAUGUUGGUCAGAAUUGAAACUUGAAACUCUAUCAUGCUCCAUUGUUAAAACUAGAUAGUUAACCAAUUUUGAAUUUCAGGAGAUAACCAAGUUUUUCAAGCCUGAUGGCCACAGAACAUGAUAAAGUCAUCUAAAGAACAUAAUCCAAGUAUAGCAAAUACUUUUAAGCUGUUGAUUUUCUACAGUUUGUUUGAAGAUGGGCACCACGAUAAGCAUGCUCCAGAUUAAUGGGAGCUUUGAAGAUCAAAGUUUAUGAUAAAUUGGAUCAAGUGACUAAAUUUAUAUUGCCAUGCAAAUAGAGUUCUUUAAUCUUACUCGAUUUCUUUAUAUACUUGCAUGAGUGGAGGGAGCACGUAUGACUGUACUGCUUUAAUCAAUUUAUAUUUUGGUCAGCAAAAUGCUUUUCAGAAGUCAAAAACAUUGAGCUCUAUCAAAAAAUCUGAACAUUACAUGACAUGGAUUUAAUACAACAGUAGCACACUCUAUUGGAAGUUUGAACAUAAAGCUCACUUCACAAAAUGAUGACUUGGAAAAGUGGGCAUGCUCAUUAGUUAUCUGAUGCAAAAAGUAGAAAACAUUUUCUAAUUAUCUCUUCAUGUAAAUCAUUUACCUAGUUAAAGGCCAUUCUCUGAGAGUAACUUUUUUAUAUUUUUCAAAUCAUUAAAGUAGGGUCUGUUUAGGAUUGUCGGACCAAAAAUGAUCAGAAAAUUUCCAUUUUGUACAAAAUUUUGGUAGAGAACCAAAAUUCCGAAGCAGUCUCUGGUUGUUCUUGUUUUGCCUUUGUUCAGUGACCAUGCUAAACAAGCUAUUAACUAGUGUUAUGUGUUCUCAUCCUUUGUUAUAAUUUUCUUUUCUGGAAAAAACAGCACCUUGGCCAUGGCCUCAAUUUGCAGCAACAAUAAUUUGUGUCUUACCUUCUUUGAGCACCUUCUUCAUUACAUCUUUCCCUGCCCCCAUGUUUCGACACUUCUUAGUUCUCAUGUUUUAUUGUUCUCCUUUCUCUGUUUCCUUCUGUUUGAGCUUCUGCCUUCUGUCCUUUUUCGUUUGUUCCUCCAUUUAACCAUUCUGUUUUUUCUGAAAAUCCUAUUNNNNNNNNNNNNGGGAAUGUUGUCAUGUCCAUGAUGUUUCUUUUGCAAGCAACUCUUCUGAUGAUGAUUCUUAGUUUAGUGUGGUAUCUUCCUUUCAGUCCUUAUUGCUGUGGGAGGCAAGUCUUCCCUUGCUCGUUGCUAAUACUAUCACCUUUUUCAUUUUAUUCUUUCCCUUCUAAGUUCUCAUUGCUUGCUUUAAGUCCACUGUUCUUUUCAGAAGCCAUAAGCAUAUUGGCUCAAUGAAAGCUUUUAAGCAUUCCUCAGUAGCAAGAGCCCAUGAACAUGGAACUUUUUGCUUAUUAUUUAAGAUAUGCCAAUCAAGGUAUCUCAUUGGUCGACAAAAUCAUGACUCCAAUUAUUAUCCUAAACUUUAGAAAGCUUAAUUUCUUAACAUGAGUUUGGCUAAGUUUUUGGUUUUCAGUGUGGUCAGUCCUCUUGACCUCUUCCUAGGUGACACUGUUUGGCUCUUAGUUGUUUUAGGAUUUUAGCUUAGCUAAGUAAUGGACGUUGUAGCGGCUUUUGUCAAAAAUAUUCUUGAGGUCUAAUAUGAAGCCGUGUUCAAGUAUGCUCAUCCGUCUCUGAUGUUUGUUGUCUUUGUUGUCCCAUGCACAGUUCCAGAUAGGUCCCUUCUGCAUGGUUUAAGAUGUCAAAAAGUGUUGGCAGUUGACCUGUAUGUUGUGAGUACAAACAUGUUUUCAUUUUCUUAUGGUUUCAACAUUUACCAAUUCUGAAAGGAUGACACGAUCAACACAUUAGUGACAUUAUGUUUGUUAAGGAACACUAGUUAAGUAGGCUACGUCCUUUCUUUUCCGCACAAAAGAAAGAAAAAAAGAAACACUAGUUAAUAUAGUUUGCGAUCAUGGACAUCAUCCCUUUUUACUAAUUUUGGUUCUUAAAGGAGGUAUGCCUUUGCUUUUUCAUCAUAGUGUACAACUAAGAUAAUAUCUUUAGUGCACCAAUAAAUAAAUGCACUUAUAGAUAAAUGCCCGUACAUCUUUCAGUUUAAUAUUGAGCAUUCUUCUAACUGCAUUCUAGAAUCAACCUGCCAACUUGUGAGUGUGCUGCGUAUAUUGCUUAUUUUACUCACAUAAUCCAUUUUCUUUGGGGUACCAACACAAAAGAUCUCUUUUUUUUCCGUCUUUCCGUUGUAGUUCUAACCCUUCUUUAGUACUGAGUGGAUUGGUGAUGUCAUGUAUUAGCAAGCCAAUAACAGUUGUCUUCUCUUUCUUGGAGAAGCCUUUAUUCUAGAAGGCCAAGCUUAGGAUGUUGUUUUGCAUUCAUAUUUCUACAUGAAAUACCAUGCAAAGGUUAACAUAUAUGCAGAUGUUUGGGUGUGGCACUUUUCUAUAUGGACAUAGGGGUUAUAGUUUCCAUGCCUAAAAAAAAAGGAUCACGGUUGUUAACCAUCCAUUCCAUUUAUCAAGUAGGUCAAGAUCUUCUGUUAAUCUUAUUCAUCACGAUUGUCUUGCUGGUUCGCUAACCUGACGUCAUAUCUGAUCCACCAUAGUGCUUGCCGAUUUCUUUAAGGUGUCCAACACCAUAUAUCAAGGACCCUACCACAUUUCAAGUUCUUUUCCUAAAUUCCUCGUUGGCAACCUACCUGAAUUCUAGAGAGGGAAGAGAUACAAAUGCGUCAAUAUGAUGCUGUAUUUCAAACAAUCUGUACUUCACUAUCCUUUUAUAUCUUGUAUCUAAUGAACUCAAGAUUAUAAUAAUCACACCAUCAUCAUAUCAUGUACUUUUAUCAGGCUAAUGCUGUCAUUAGUUGAUGCUUUGAUUAUGCCGCUUUUGAUUUAUGAAUAAUAAAAUGAUGAUAAACAUGGUAUGCACAUGGAACAUAAUGUCAGAUUACUACAUUAUUUGUUAAUCACUUGGUCUUAUAUUGCACAAAUUCUAACAAGAUAAUCCAGAUUUACUGCUAACAUGUGUAGGAACAAAGUAUGCUUUUAAUUGAAAUUUCUAAGGUGAAAGAAUGAGAUUUUAACCAUGUUAUUCAUAUUCUAGUAGAGCUAAUUAUUUGCAUGCCUGCAGUGUUCAUCACAUAGCAAUGAAUUGAGUGAUUCAGAAUUGGUUGGAUCCAGAAUAAAAGUUUGGUGGCCGUUGGAUAAGCAGUAAGCCUUUUCUGUUGGCAUGUUAACUUUUUAUGAGUUCUCAAUUUACAUUUGAUGCAAAACCUUGCUCUAUUGAAUACAAUCAAAUGGAAAGAUCACUAUAUAAAAGAGACCAAUGAUGAAACUGUUAUUGAUAGUUUGUGUGCAUGUUAAUUUCUUGUUCAAAAAGUUAAUGGAGUAGUUUGUCUGAUUUUAGUAUCUGCUGCUUCUAUUAUAGGUUCUAUGAAGGUGUUGUACAAUCUUAUGAUCCAGGAAAGAAAAAACAUGAGGUGAGAUGGUUCUCUGUCCUAUGCACGAUCCUGCAGAUAUCCGAGAUGCUAGUUUCUUAGUGCAUUUAUGGUGUUCACUGAUCUCAAAUUUUCAAACAUAAAAAAAGGAAAAGAACCAAAAUCUCUGCUUGCAUAUUAAGAUUUUUCUCAAAAGAACUACAUGACCCCACAAUUUCCAUGGCGUUGCAUUUAUGUUGCAUGCCCACAUAUAUGGCUGAGUUUUUGUCCUUGGUUUUUGUUCUGAGAAGCUUUAGAUAUAAAAUGUGGUUAUGGAAAGGGUUUGUUUAUAGGUUAUAUUAUUGUCUCCAAAUGAUUUACGAAAUAUCACAAUUUACCACAAACUUAUUGGUAUGUUUAGAUGAUCUAUGUUGAUGUUAACUAAGGUUCUAAAAACUGCAGUAUGGGCCCGUAACAGUCGUUGGCUGGUAUUUUACCCAUUCUGACAGUUUGGCUGGCAUGGUCAAUACCCUGUAUGAGUACAGGCUGGAAUUGGAAGGUGGUAUGUACUGUCUGGUACAGGUCAUGCCAGCAGUACUUGAAUCCUUGAUGUUAAGAUUGCAAGAGAGCCUUUUCCCUCAUCACCUUGUAGCAUCCAAAAGAAAUUCUGGGUUAAACCAAGUUCAGGAUCACUCUGUUUGUCCAAUUUUUAAGGCUGUAAUGGGUAUUUGCACUCAAAAUAAAAGGCUGUCAUGCGUGUUGGUAUAUACCUGAUAUAAUUGUAAGUUCUAGAAAACGAUUGUACCUUGCCAACUUUUCCAAGUCAAUUUCUCCCAUUUGGCAUUGGAGUUUUUGUCUAAUCCAUGCCUAUUCAUAUUUUAGUAUAUUUCUAUAUCAUUUACAAUUUUUCCAGCCUUUUCUUUCAAAAAUUUCUGCCAAAUUAGAACUUCUAUCCCAUAAAACUCAUGUUAUAGAUAUUGUAUGAUGAUGGAGAUGUGGAAGUGCUUCACUUAGCCAAGGAGAAGUGGGAACUUUUCCAAGUCAAUUUCUCCUAUUUGGCAUUGGAGUUUUUGUCUAAUCCAUGCCCAUUCAUAUUUUAGUAUAUUUCUAUAUCAUUUACAAUUUUUCCAGCUUUUUCUUUCAAAAAUUUCUGCUAAAUUAGAACUUUUAUCCCAUAAAACUCAUGUUAUAGAUAUUGUAUGAUGAUGGAGAUGUGGAACUGCUUCACUUAGCCAAGGAGAAGUGGGAACUUAUCAGUAAUGGAUGCGUGCCUAAAAAGGUUUAGACUUGUUACUCUUUUUUGUCGGCUUGACUUCUAACAAAAUUUUUUGAUGUGUUAUAAUAUGCUCCGUUUUUGACAGCGAUCAAAAUCCAAACAUACAUCGCCGCAUGAAGAACUGUGAGUAUUAUCCUUCAACUCUUUUUGCACCAUUUAUGUUUAAUUUCUGGGUAGGUAGAAAAUUUGUGAUUAUUUUGAUGCUGAUACUGUGAUUAUGGUCAUGGGUCAUGCCAAUGUUAAAAGACAGCUGUCAUUUUUCCCAUUUUUGACUGAUACAUGAAAUUUCAAUUAAUAGAGGAUGACAGAGAAGAGUAAUACCGAAAAUACUUUUUUAAUUCAAAAACUGAAAUCUCAACCAGAAAAAGAAAAAAAAAGGAGCCCACUCAGCCAGGACUGGAUAGCCUUUCAUACUUCCAGGUGACCAAUGUCAGACAACAGAAUUCCUAUGAUUUGAACUAUUUAAUCAUGUGUCCAGCAGCUAGGAGCAGGAUAUGAAGGGCUAAGGCAAGUGGUAGUCCCAAAAAUAGCCUCUGUCCUACCUUAUCUCCUCCCGCUUUAUCAUAAAAAGUCAUGCUAUCUGAGGAUAUAUUUCUUCUUGUAAGGAUGUUAAAUUGAUUGUUCAUGAACUGUCUAAGAUAGAAUCAUUUAGUGCUUGUUUUCAGCCACCGAUAUACCGUACUCCAAAUAACUGAAUCUGAUCAUGAACUGUCUAAGAUGGAAUGUUUUAGUGUUCGUUUUGAGCCACCGAUAACCAUACUCCAAAUAACUGAAUCUGGACUGAAAAUGGUCCUUUGCGUUUGAUCUGUAAUUGCUACUGCAGGUCACCAGAGAAGACAGAUGACAAAACCAACCAAGCUGAUUCUAAACAAAAAAAGAACAGCAUGAAGAAGUAAGUGAAGUCUUUAUUUUAUUUUAUUUUAUAUUAUAUUUUGUGUAAUGUUUUAUGUCAUCGCAAACUCUGGAAUUAUUGACAGAUCUUCAUCUUCUAAAAUCAAAAGAAAAAGUACUCCAAGAAAACGUAAAGUAAAUAACAGAAAAAGAGUAUCAGAAAGUAAUGUUAAUGCAGAUACGAACGACGUGGAUAGCAGGGGUGAUUCUGAUUUAUCAAGUGUCCCUCCACCCUCUGGCUCUGAUGUUGAUGAUGCCAACUCAGGUAUAUAUAUGUACACUCUUUUUAAGGGAAAAAAAAAAAUCUUCGAGUGAAAUAGGGCAUAUAUCACUACACAUUUCAUUGCUAGAUGAAACAGGAUUUCGGUCAGGGGUCUGUGCAGAGAAAGAGAGAGGGGAAGGGGGGGGGGGUGACCCCUCUUCGACAUGACAGUCAAAACAGCAGGAUGCACACACACAGGCAUGCAUGCAUGGUACAAUGUGUUAGACUGUUAAGGGAUGUAUAUAACCGCCUGUAUCCAUGUGUACAAUAUCAGUAAGUUCCCCAGGUGGUAGACCUUCCAACCUUUGCUUAUGUGGAAUCUGAUUGUCAGAAUUGGCCAACCAGUCAUCUGCCUGGAUGGCUUGCAUUGCUUGAUGAUGUGCAUGACACAAAAAGCCUGGAGCUGGUGAGACAUUAUCCGGAUAUCCACAGUCAGGGGUGUUUUAUUUUAGAGGCUGAUGUCCCUUGCUGGGUCCAGUGGACGACAGUGGCAGGGUGUCGUCCAACCACAAACUAGUUCACUGGAUUGUACAAAGUAGUUACAGUGCCUGGAUUGGUUCCAUACCAACACUACACUAAAUACAAAUAAAACAGAACUCCAACUGGGGCCCUUCCAGCUUCUCCUCAUAGCACCUAUAUAUCAGACUCAUAUUCCCUCCAUGCGGAGCUCUUCUCAACUUGUGAAGCCCGAUGGACAGACUGCUUUAAACACCAUCUGUAGGCACAUGUUCUCCUCUUUGACCUUGCAUAAGUCACCAGCCCAUUUAUAUUGAAAAUCAAGUUAAAUAUGCCAAUGUGUUGCAUGUAAUUUUCUGUUGUUUCGCUUUCUACCUCAACUUUCUUAUUUUCCUUUAGUAUACAAGCUUUGUCAUUACCUUUACUUUCUCCCAGAUAGGCUUGAAGGGAAAGAACAUCCAAUGUUAGAAGUUGGAAAGAAAACUGAAGUGGGCUUCGAAGAGGAUUCAGAAGAGUCAAUGGAAGAAGGCAAGCAAGAUUUUUCCAGCUUAGAUGGCAAAGGAGAUUCCGAUAAUGAACCUCUUGUAAAUUUUCUUAGCUUUUAAGCCCAUUUUCUGUAGUCUAGACCACGUUCCAUUCAAAAUCCGCAUACCAACUCAAUUUUUUUUCUUUUUUUUUCUUUCUAAAUCUUGCCAUUUUACCAUGUAAUUCAUGCAGAGUGCAUGGAAGCAAGGUGCUGGAAAAGCCACCUAAAACAUCUAUGCUCAUGGACCAGCUCACUCAGUACAAGAACUUGAUGGCAGAUCAGUUUGGGAUAUGGAUCUUGCUAAUUUGUUCUCUUCUUCCCACGCUUUCAGUCUUCAUGUAGGAAAUGUUAUUACCAUACCACAGGGUAGUAUAAGAUGGCCUUAGAAGAGGGAUAGUGAUUCUAUAUUGUGAAACUGAAGCUCUAGCUUUUGUGAUAAUUUAUCUGCAAUCUGUGCAUUUUCGCAGCAUUUUUUCCCCCUCCAGGUAGACGGAUUCUGUCAUUAUCUGCCUCUACUGUCUUUGGCAUAGCUAACCUCUGAUUGAACUCCGGCAAUUGAGCGGGCCAUGACUCUAUUCACAAGCCAUGAAUGUAAUAAUUGGCGCACACCUUUAGUGUUUGUCAUUGGGGGCACCUCAUUCUCUCUGAGGUUGCAUGUAAUAAUUGCAUACGAGUUGUUGUUCUGUAAUGAUGCUUCAGUUGGCACCCAAAUUUCCCGUAAGAUGGAAGUUGGAAUGUGUUGUAAAGCUGGUGAUGCUUCAGUUGGCACUUUGAUGGUGUACCGUGCCCAGAUAUCAAAUCUUCUUCAGCUUGCCGCGUUGAUAUUUUAUAGGUGUUUCCUUUUUGUGUUAGUGAAAAUAGCAACUGUGGACGUUCAUUACUUCCAUUAGGACUUGUAUACUGGGUAUGAGAUUUUAAAGCUAUGAGGCGAACUUUUCGUCUGUUGAAUUUAUUAUGAUCUGUUUGAUUGCUACCAGUUGGGCAUUUGUGAGAAUGGAUUUGUAUUGUGGUGUUCAAAAUUUGAAUGAAAAAUUUUUUUUCAGAAAUGAGGGGUGCGUUGCAUACUUUUCAUCAAAAUAUAUUCUAGCAUCCAUGCAUGUUUUUGAUAUUGAAUUACGGCUGCAUGUACGUUUAUCCAUAAACCAUUCUGCCAAGCAAAAAGGGCUGCUUGAUAAAUUUAGCUUUGGGGGUAUGUUGGACAAAAAUAUUGGAUAAAUCUAUACUUACGAUGUAUGAAGAAUUGUGUUCUGACCGACUCUCUACCGUGGGAUCACGGUUGCAAACGUGAAUAAUCCUUGCAUGAGCACUGUCUUCGUCCCUGUUUAGAAAAGUUUACGUGAGUCUUUAAGAAUCUCUUAAGUUGCAUAAGUUGGCGGUACUGUUGGCUGGAUUGGCUUGUAGGCUACAUAUUAGUGUAGCUCUCUCAGUCCUAAAUUUCCUCAUCAUAUUGGCUAAGGUAAAUCGGGUAAAAUAAAAUGAAUCGAGAUCUUGAUUUACCAAGAUCAUGGAUAUCAACAUUUAAAAACCUGGCUGACCAUGCGAUGCUAUGCUUUGUUGCAGGAAGUAAAAUCUUAAGAGCUUGGUCCAACUAGGGGUCCAGCCUUCUGUGUGAUAUUUUGAAAGAAGGCUUUACUGCACCAUUCUAUCUCCGAUGAAGUGUGGACGCGGGUCCUUGGAGCUGCACCUAAUAUGACUCAUGUAUUGCAUCAGUCCUGACUGCAGUACGAGGUCCAGUGCUUUGAGCAGGCGGAAGGAGAUUUAUUAGUGCUUUGAGCAGGCACUAGGACGUUGCGGAGAAAGCGUUUUGUGUACAUUGUGCUAGAGAAACCAUAGAUUUGUUCAUUUUGACCAAAGUUCUCUAAUUGUUCUCUGAAACACUCUUUCCAAAUAAAUAAGGUUGAGAAGGACAAAACUGUUUCUCAAUUAGCAUAAGAAUUUAUUCAAUUUAAUAAUAAAAUCAUCGAUAAAGUUUUUGGGUCCAUCGAGAUGGUUCUAAGUUAUUAUAAUAUAAACUUUUUUGAGAGAGGAAGACGAAGACUUCGUCUAUGCUCAAUGACGCAUAACCCGAGACUCACUUAGGGCUUUUGAUUAGUAAGCAGAGGGGUAUGACAAUCGGGGUAAGCGUCCAUUUAUAAAUAAUAUAAAAUUAUUUUCCAAGAGCUCGGAAAUGAUUGAAAGAUCAUAUAGCAUUUCAAGUUGACCAUUUAUUAUAUUGAGGUGAAUUAUAUAGAAGACUAAUUUGAUUUACUUUCUGGAAGAGCCUCACGAACCUGCUGAUAUAUAUAAAUCAGCAAGUCACUUGAAACAAGAAACAGGUAGCUCAAAGACAGCAGUCAAACACAUUUUCUUAUUGACAGAGAUGAUGGCAAAUGUUUAGUUUGCAAGUUGUGGCGAUGCCCUUCAUUUGCAGUUGUAAUUACGUAAGAAUCAGUAAUUCAUUGUACAGGAAUACCACUAUUUUCAGCUGCUUGUGGGAGGGUAAUUACCGCCUUCAAAAUGUCUUUAAGCACAAGGUAAUCAUCCCAAGAAUGCAAAUGAGGCUGAUAUCCACUAUAUUUUAAUUCCGUAAGCCCUUCACUUGCAACAUAGCAUGUGUCUCUAGACUGCAGCAAAGUGAGGAUAGAUAAUUUAAUAGUGAAUCAUUCUGCAUAGCCAAAGAAGAAAGUAGAAGAAGAAGAAAGAAGAAAGUAGACCUUGGUUUCUUCAACAUGAAUUUCGACGGUUGUGUCAUGGAUGAUGGAUGUUGUGGCAUCAGCUUCGUCAUCAGGGAUCAGUAGGCUGGACUAGUAGCUGCCGGGGGUCGGUGCAUCUUCGAUCAGUCCGUCAGGCACUAAGGUCAAAGCAGCCUGUGAGGAUAUCUCCUAUGCCAGAUAGGUGCUGGGGGCCGAUUGCAUCCUACUUGAGGGAGACUCCAUUACGGUGAUCGAGGGAAUUUUGAGUUCUAAGAGUGCUGUCGUGGGGAUGCGGCUGAUUCACGUCAUUCGCCGUCUCUUAGACGAAUGCGUAGCCUUCCGGGCUAACCAUGUAUUCAGAGAGUCCAAUAGCGCCGCAGAUUGGGUGGCAUCCUACGCGGCUCACCACUCUGGAGAUUUUAACUGGGUGGCACACAACUCUGAUUUGUCUCUCUUGCAUUUUAUUCUAGUAUCUGUCUCUUUGGGCUAUGCUCACACCCGGUGUGUAUGAGUUGCCGAUGUAAACAAAAAAAAAAAAAGAAGAAGAAGAAAGUAGAAAGAUAAGAUGGUAAAUUGAAAACGUAAGCUUAUAGCCUCCGUCCUAUCAUUUCCUGGUUAAAACAAACCUCUUCUUGAUAGCGCUAAAUAGUGAGACCCAAGAGAAACUAGCAAUUAAACAUGUUCAUAUAACUACUAUGACAGGUUUCCAUUAUUUAAUCUUCCGAGACUCAACUGCUUAUAGUUAGUUCACUUCUGCAGCAUACCAUUUGUCAAAGCAAGCACUGCAAACCCAUUCACCCAUUCAAUGUAUAUGUGUCUUUACAACAUCUUGUUGACUCGUAAUUAAUAUCGGAUCCGUUGGACUUGCUAUGUAUCAAUAAAAAUCAACUCUGAGAGGGGAAAAAAUAGGGAGGAGUCAAGUGUAAUUGGAUCAGGCUUGGGACUGACAAUAUUGAUAGCCGAAUAGAACUUUAUUUAAAUAUAUACUAACUUAUAUUAACCAUCCCCGCAAGGAUAUCAUGUAGGAUUCACUGUCUAGAGCAUAUCUAUAAAUUAUGAAUUUACCAACUCCUUAGAACUCUUAAUUGUAGAAAUCCAUGCAAUCAAAUUGUAUUGAUCGUUUUCUACUAUUUAUGCAAUCUGGUCCCAUAUAUUAUACCCUGGCUAGGUGGUUGGUUUUCUCUGAAGGAUCAAGGUUGUAUCCUCUAUGCAAAAGAAGGAUUAACUUCCUUUGCAUGAAUCCACAAUUGUUCAUCAACUAGUUGCUUUGAGAUCUAUAUAGCAGAACUUUAGUUCUUCAGUUGAUGAUGAAUUUGUAGCUUAGUAAUUUUCUAAAUUUUGAGAAUUAUGAGUUUGGUAUUUAUGUUUGAAUUUAGAAGCUCCGAACGAAUAAUGGUUGUAUUUAAUGGAUAAUGAAAUUUGUUUCCUAUUUAUUCUAUUUUAUUUGAGAUGAAUUUGAAAGCUAUAAUAAAAUGUUUGGCUUCGUAUUAUCGUAGAUUGUAUCCCUUGAUAGCACGGCUAUAUCAUGCUCCGGAUCUGAGGUAUGACAGAUAGAUUUCUACUAUUUAUGCAAUCUGGUCCUAUAUGUUAUACCCUAGCUAGGUGGUUGGUUUUCUAUGAAGGAUCGGAGUUGUGUUCGCUAUGCAAAAGAAGGAUUCAUUUUUAUUCACAUUAAUCCACAAUUGGAUAAUCCACUAGUUGCUUUAAAAUUUAUAUAGAUGGAUGGGUUAUUGAGUUCUGAGUACUUUGAGAUCCAUAUGAUGGGUGAUCCAAUGAUAGAUUUGCAUGAAAGAGAUAAAUCAUUCUUUUGCAUAAAAGAUCCACCCCCGAUCCUGCUAUGAAAUGAGGAUCGCUUCAUAGCAGGAUCGCUUUGUGGGAAUUUCCCACAAUGUAAGCCAUAGAGAUCUGUUGCUUUUACCAUCAAUACACGUCGUCUCGCGGUUAGAAAAUAGAGCAAUUAAUCAACCAUUCAACCGAAUGAGCAUGGGUCCCAAGUAAGCAGGAAAUACUGAUUCUCUCCUUAUAAUGUUUAAGUUGAGGGUGAUCUUCCCUCAUAACCAGAGCUCCAAACUAUCACGGUCUCCCACUCAUCCUUUGGGGAACUGUUUCUAGUUUCGUUUCAGUUGUCAAAACAAGUAAGAACUCAGUGAAUGUCACAUCCGACACACCUGCAAAAGCAUCCGUUACCUCUAAAAUUUAAAUUUUAAUUAAGUUACUCAUCAUUGCUUUGUUAUGUAUGAAUAAGUUCAAUUCUUUAAAAGAAAGAGCUAUGACAUAAUAAAUAAGUGGAAAAACAGGACGACUAAUUGUCUAAAACGUUGUAUGCUAGAUGUUUAAUAGUUUGAUAGUAAUGGCAAUAUCCCUUGGCUUGUUUAGUAUUGCACGAGGCAUUUAACCCUCCAAUUUGCUGAUGGCAAUGCUAUCCGUUGCGAGUAUUCUUGAAGAAUAUCUACAUAUUGGUUUUUUGUCGUGCAAGUAAGCUAUCAAAGCUCAAAGUGAUUGGGGCCUUUUCUCAUGGUCAUAUCUCCCUAUUUAGCAACCCCCGUGUCUGUGUGUGAAAAACAAAAAAAAAAUCAAAGACUAGAGAAAAAUACUCGGCAUCUAAAAGGUUAAAACUAGUUCCCUAAAGACCAUCCACUUCUGGAGGGAUCGUUGACGAGUUUUGAAUUUCAUGAGAGAUGGAUCAGUUGGGUCAUGGGGUGUGUCAGAUCUCCCACCUUUGCCAUUCUGGUGAAUGGCACGCCCUCGUGUUUCUUCGCUUCUUCUAUCGGACUCUGGCAAGGGUGCCCUCUGUCCCCACUUCUAUUCAUUAUUUGUGCAGAUGCCUUGUCUAGAGCCUUCUGUUGUGCUAUUGAGACCCAGGCUUUGGAGGCUUGUAGACCGGGGCUGGGGUCCUUUUAGGUAUCAUAUUUUUUAUUUGCUGAUGACUGCUUGAUCCUUGCUCAGGCCACAAGACAAGCGACAAUGGUUAUCCGGAGGUUCUUAGAGGAGUACUGUGUUGUUUCAGGUCAACGGGUCAACCUGGCCAAGUCAGCUAUCUUCUUCAGUCCGAAGAUCAAGCCACAGGUGAAGACAUCCAUCAAGCAGAUCCUAGGAGUGGGUGAACAGGAGGGUGCCCUAAAGUACUUAAGGGUUCCCAUCAUUGGGCGGCGUCUUCGUCUUGGGGACUGCUCUAAUAUAAUGUGCAGCAUCAAACAGAGGUUAGAGGGCUGCUAGAUGGAUGCACUUUCUAUGAUGGGCAGAAUGGUCUUAGUGCGGUCGGUCCUUAGCACGACGCCGAUAUACUUGUUAUCGAACACCAUUGUGCCGAUAGUGUCGCUGAGGUCUAUGGAGCAGCUGUUCAGGAAUUUCAUAUGGGGCAGGAAGGGAGAUCGCAGUGUCAUUCAUUUGGUGGCAUGGGAGACGAUUUGCCAGCCAGUCAAGAUAGGUGGUCUAGGGGUACAUUCACUGAUCAUGAGGCGGGAGGUUAUGGCGGCACGACAUGCCGCUAGGUACAUCUUGGAGCCGGAUAGUUGUGGGGUGCCCUCAUGAAGAGUAAGUAUGGCACACAUUCGGCGGUGGCCGACUUUCGAGUGGGACGUCAUAGCUUCAUCUGGAAGGAGAUAUGCGCAUACGCACCGAUGGUGCUCCCAGAGAUCAGGUGGAUGAUUGGUGAUGGAUGAUCUAUUGAUGUGCUAGAGGAUGCUUGGGUGACUGAGCAGCCAUUGGGGAGGAUACCAACGAUGAUGGAUUUAGUAAGGUUGUCGGGGUGCAGGGUCAGCGAGCUAAUUAGUGCUGGUAGAUGGAGUAAGGUGUUGGUCCGGGAUGUGUUUGGGGAGCAGCUUGCCGAGAGGGUUCUGAAGCUCCCGAUCCCUGGUGGGGAGGCAGUAGACAGGUUGGUUUGGACUCCGAUAGAGAGGACGAGGGUGUGUAUUAGGGAUCUGCAGGCAUUGAUGGGGAAGGAGUCGACUCGGCGGAUAGAGGGUGGGUGGAUCUAGAGGUUGGGCGUUCACCCUCGAGUGACCUUAUUCUUAUGGAAUGUGGCCUGGGGAUGUAUCUCGACUCGGAUUGUAUUGGCUAGGCGGAGUGUCAAGACUACCCCCAUGUGUGAGGAUUGCCAUGAUGAGAAGGAGACCAUCACUCAUGCUCUUCUUUACUGUGCUCGGGCUAUAUAGGUAUGGAGGAGUGCAGUAGUAUCCUUGCUGCGGGAUUGGGGUUUGGCGGAAGACUUGUUAUAUCAUUUGAGGAUAUCCAUGAGAAGAUCGGAGUUGGUGGAGUGGGGCAUUACUUGUGCCUACCUGGCUUAUCACAUAUAGUUAGACAGGAAUGUCGAUAUCUUUGAGGGGAGGAGGACACCCCCAUGAGCUGUGGUGGACAGAGCCUUCCGAUAUGCGGCCGAAUUCAUAUACUCUAUUAGGGAGUCUUCAUUUGGAGGGACUAGGAACACUUGGGGUUCCCACAUCGCUGUCAUGGUGCCCAUAGUCACUUUUGUCACUUGGGAACCCGCAAUGCUGGGUCAUCUUAAGGUAAACUUCGAUGGUAGUGUGCUAGCCGGAGGAGAUAAAGGAGGGACGGAAUUUGUGAUCCGAGAUCACAAUUCUAAAUUGAUUGCUGCACAUCGGUGGCACGAUAGUCAUAGGAGUAGAGCUCAGGGCAACAUGGGACUUGGGAGGGCAUUACUUAUGCGAGGAGCAUCCUAGGGGCUGGCAAAAUCACCCUGGAAGGAGAUUCCGCUAUAGUGAUCGAUUGGAUUCAACAUGCUGAGCGACAUGUAAAUGACCAUCCUCUUCUUAGCGAUAUACGACGGAUGGUGAGAGAUUGUAACUCCUUUUAGAUUGCUCAUGUGUACCGGAAGGCAAAUAGAGCAGCUGAUGGGGUUGCUUCCUUUGCUGCCCAUCACUCCGGAGAGGUCUCAUGAACAUGGUCUGAGAUUGUACCCCAAUCUUUAUGCCAUGUAUUGUAUUUUGACUCAGUUGGUUGCACUCAUGCCAGAUUAACAUGAGCGACUGUUUUAACCAAAAAAAAGGAAAAAAAAGAUGACCAUCCGCAUAAGAACCAGUUUCGGAGUUUAACUGCAUUCAAAACGACUCAUUACUUGAUCAACCAAUCCCAAUCUACAGUACCCAUUGGAAAUCUCAUAAGUAGCAAAUUCAAACUAAAAACAAAAUCAAGAAAUCAAAACUCAAGACUAGACUAUCCAAAUCAUUAACAGAAAUAUCUAAAUAUAAAAACCCUAGCAAGCAAAUAAACAGCUAAGAUCUCUAAAGAAACAACACGACAACUAAGGCAACCCAAAGGGCUGUCAUGAUCAUAGAAGAUUUAGCAGUGGUCUUAAAUGGCGCAUUAGAACCUUGGGAUCCAUAUGUUGCCGGCCGGAUCCUGAGCUCAGGCCCAAGCUUGAGCCCAGGCCACCACUCGGCUGGGGGGCUUUGCGCAAGCCCUGGACCCAGCUAACUUCUACGAUCAUCCUCUACUCGGACUCACAGUGACCAGGAUCCUCAUUGAUGAAGUAGAAGAAUCCAUAGUAGUUGAAUUGGAACGUGGCAUUGCCAUCGUUAAAUUUGGAACUGGAUUCGAAAUGUUGCACUGGUUGUAGGCCCUGUUUUGGGGAGCUGUUGGUAGUAGAGCUUUUGGAAGUAGAGCUGUUGGAAGUAGAGCUGUCUGAAGUAGAGCGUUUAUAAAAAGUUGUUUGCUGUUUGAUAACUACAUUUCUAAAGUAGAUAUAUAUAUAUAUAGAGAGGGGGAUGGGUGAGAGAGGAAGAGGCGGGAUGAGAGUUUUGGGAGAAAAAAAGUGGGAUUUAAAUGGGGGUAUUUUGGUAAAAAAAAGCUUUCCGACAAAACUAAAAACAGCAUUUUCGGAAAGCUCCAAAAUGGAGCAUCUCCCAAAAAGCUAUUUUCAGCUUUCUGGAAAAGCUGAAACAGCUUUCCAAAAUUUUUAACAAACAUCCUUUUUAUCCAAAAGUAUUUUUGAAGGCUAGAAAGUGCUUUUUGCCUCUUCAAGAGCUCUCCCAAACAGGGUCGUAGUCUUUGCGGUCCAUUACGAGCAUCGAGUUAUUCAAUCUAGGAUGUUAAAAAGAUAUCAUGAAUACAUGUAUACACUGGCUAAAUAUUUAGUUAAACUGAUAACUCAUUAUUAUUGUUGCUCAAAACACGAAAAAUAAAAAUAAAAUAUUAUGCAAGUUCUGAAAUGAAUUAACUCUUUCCAAUGUCAUUUAAUUGUGGUCCCUAGUAGUUGUACACACUUAUUCCUCACUAUGUACACAAAUACAGAUAACUGUGUAUAUGCAGGGACAAUAUAUUGUGUUCAAGAAUUAGUAUAAUCAUGUGCAAUAUAAAUGUAAACAUGUGUAAAUCUUGUAUAAGCUUGUGCAGCAUUAAAAGUUAAAUAUUAAUAGUCGAACGGCCAAAUGUUAGAGUCCGUCAAAAAAACUUAAGGACCCAAUAUUAUCGUCUCAUUAUUAUGUUUAUAUAUCUAAAUGUUUUAAACUAGGUACUGAUAAUGCAACCAUAAUUCAUUACUGAAGUGUGCUACUAUCAUAAAAUCUAGCAUUUUUUUUGUUUUUUUAUUAAGCGAACCACAAGGAAUCUCGUUGAGAGGAAGAAGUUGAAGCAAACAUACAUACAUACAUAUAUUGAGAGGAACGAGGUGGAAAGAAGUUUAUCAAUUCAUGUCAAUAUUGCUAACAAAAUAAGAUGGCAUCAUCCACAAGAUACAAAUAUGUAUCUGUCUAACUCAUGGAAUAAUAAAAUUUUUAUGUUGCAAAAUCUCGGGUAAACUUUGAUUUAUCAUGCCGUGUAUUUUUUUCGAAGUCCAACUUCUCCCUGUUCCCAUGACAAUUGUAAAAUAAUGUUCUUAUGUUAUUAUUAAUUAUCUUUUAUUAUGGUAGCUGUUAGUAGUCAUCGUAAGUAGUCAUUAUAAGUCUUUAUCUUAAUCCUAGAUAAACUCAGUCUCGUUAGAUCAGAACUGGACCAAUAAUGGCUAUUGUAUAAACAUAAUGAUCAUGGACCGGGUUUGUUGUUGAGAUCUUGACGAUAGCAUGUAUCCACCUCAAUCUUGUUUCAUAUAACUUGACGAGGUCACGAGUCCCAUGAUGCAAUGGCAACGUCUGACCACCUCCCUGGGACUGCCGGUCAUCAUCACUAACCUCCAAUUUUAGCCCACAAUUUAUGGUCUCUUUCCUUUCUCUCUGCCUUCUAAUUAAGCCUCCUCCGGCGAGAAGGCCGUUCUAGGAGCGAAUUUAAAGGCUGCCAACCUAUAAACGCAACCAAUUCCGGAUGAAAUCUCUCGCUCUCCCCCCCCCCCCCCACCUGUGACCAUAACUGAGUCAGUUGCACUCUUUUAGGAAACUGGCCAGCACCACUACUCGCCGGUUUUGAACGGGUGUUUUCAUAGUAGAAUUGGCUCUAGUCUCUCGUCGAAAUGUCUAUAUAACCAGGUCUCUGUAUAUCGUCAUUUCAAUUGCAAACCAGUUCUAGCCUCUCAUCAAAGUGUUUAUAUAAGAAGGCCUUUCUCUUCGGGUCGUGCGCUAGCUUGUUGUGUAUUUAACUAUUUCUAUGGUUUUUUCCUCUUCCUCUUUUCUUUCUUUUUUGCUUGCUUAGCAUAUUAUGAUGUUGCUUUUUAGGCUUUUAUUCUGUCCAUCAUAAUUUGGUUUUAUGUAGUUUUAGAAAAUUCUUUUGUUGGGCAUGGAUUUUGCUUGCAUCUAUAAGUUUAGAUGAUAUGAAGGUGAAACUUUGAGGAAAGGGUUGUCACUUCUUCAAAACAACCGGUUUUCGUUUCAUCUCAUUAUCCUAGACUAUAUAAGAAAUCUAUACUUCAUUAGGUUAGUCUGUGUGAAGAAGAAAGCACGUUCUCGCUAUAAGAAUUUGAUUGUGCACUUCAAAACGAUUUUCUUUUUAUUGAUCUUUUGAUUCCAUCUAUUUUUGUAAUCUAUAUGAGCACCGAGAAAAGGAUGUUUUCAAUAUAAACAAACGAUUGCAUAUCUUUUUUUUUCCAGCAAAAUGAUUGCAUAUUUCCACAAAACUAGUUUUUCGGGAAUUUUUCUUUAUUUCAUUUUUGCUGUUUUGGAAAUGAAAAGAUUAUGCUAUACAUGAUGGUAUCGCUUCAAUUUUUUUCCCUUUUUUUUCUUGGUUUUUGGUUUUAGUCUUAACCUCAAGAAGUUAAUUAACAAUGGCAAGGGAGUUUCUUCCAGCAUUCACAAGGUAAACACAUGUUUCCACUAGUAGAUUAAUUCUAUUCAUUUCUAUUAGCACGCAUGAAUGUACGCAUACAUACCAAGCAUAUAUUGUUCUCUUUUCUCUGUCAUAAAUAGCUUUCAUGAAUAGAAAACUUAAUGUAAAGAAAAAUAAAUAUGCGCAAAUAUUUUAUGAAAAUCUUAUUCAGAAAUAUACAUGCAUUCAUGCAUCCAUUAACUUUGUCUUUUUUUUCUCCAUCAAAAAAGACUUUUGACUUUUUGUAGGAUGGGGCUUAUGAUCUUCAUACAUUGACCCGAUGGCUGAUCAGCGAAUGUACAUCUGAUAUCUUGAUGUCAACAUUUAAUUUAAUAGAUGUUAUAUAUUUCCACGUGUACGAAUGCAUGUCAUUUCUUGAUCCUGAAAUCUGAAGUUGAUGGCGAUUUUUUCUAAUACAGGGUGCGAAGGGUGGGAUCCCAAGAUGGAAGAGAUGACAGAAGAGAGAGAGCACAACCCAACACUAGCGAAAGAAACAGGUUCGCUCUUGGUGUGGAUGUGCUCUCUCCUCUUUCUGUCAUCACCAUCUCUAGGGUUUUGCCUGUGCUCUUUUGAAGCCCUAGUUUCUUGUCGCGCAUAUCACUUUCUGGUGGGUCAACUCUUCCAUUGACCAGCAAUAUCUAGCAGGCAAGGUGAGCCUCUCAUAAGAUCCGGCCGUAUUUUAUUUAAGAUCCAGAGUUAAAAUCGAUGUUACAAAUUAGGUUUGCAUUAGGGUGGAUCCAAAUGCACCUGCUUGGCUGCUGUUGAUGAUCUGCUCAAAUGGAAAGUCCAUAUCCUACCCGUGUAGUUGGACUAGUCCNNNNNNNNNNNNNNNNNNNNNNNNNNNNNNNNNNNNNNNNNNNNNNNNNNNNNNNNNNNNNNNNNNNNNNNNNNNNNNNNNNNNNNNNNNNNNNNNNNNNNNNNNNNNNNNNNNNNNNNNNNNNNNNNNNNNNNNNNNNNNNNNNNNNNNNNNNNNNNNNNNNNNNNNNNNNNNNNNNNNNNNNNNNNNNNNUACUUUCGGCUGAAGCUAGCCGAAUGCAAAUGUGUAUGGUAGAAAUGGUCAAAGUGGGGGAAUACAUCUUUCUAUGAGAGGAGAGAGCCACUAUACGUCUAUAGUGGAUACAUGGAGUUGGUGCUGCAGGUUUAACAAUAGAAAUUAAAAUUGGUUGGAUUGGGUGUAAAGAUUAAAAUUGGUUGGAUCGGAUCUAUUUUUUCAAGUACAUGUGAGUUAUAAAUAUGAUAUAAAAUAUUAAAAAUAAUAUAUUAUAGUGUAAUAGUAUUAUUGUAUCACCAAUAUUGUAGUAAUACUAUUGUAUUAUACUAUAUUAUAAUAAUUUGUUAUAUUAUAUGAUAUUAUAAUAUUAUAAUAAUUAUAUCAAAAUAAUAUAGUAACUAAUAAUUUUAUAUUAUUAUAUUUUACUAAUAUUAUUUAAAAUAUUAGUAUAUCGAUAUCACAUAUAUACUAUUUAUUAUAUUAUUUAGAUUAAAAUAUUAUAAUAAAUAAUUUAUAAAUUAAAUAUUAUUUAUUUAUACUUUAUAAAUAAAUAAUAUUAUAACCCUCUUAUCUCGGCUUAGGCCUCUCUACCUCUACCACCUCUGUCCUUAGGGCCAUGCUCUCUUUUUUCUCCAUCUGCAUAGUACUUUAGUCUAAAUCUAAUGUAAUUUGUAAAAUGUAAUUGCUGCAUAUAUUUUACUGAUAUGGGCACAAAUACAUUUCCAGAAGGUUCAGUUCUUUGAAUUGCAGAUCUGAAGAAAUGGAGGAAAGAAGAAGAAGAAGAAGAAGAAGUUGCUAAGAUUUCUGCAUAUAAAUGGCAUGGUUGCAGUACUGUUUCUUUUAUAUGUGAUGAGAAGCUGGCGCAGUUCCUGAAUUGCUGGAAGCUUAGCAACACAGAGAAAUACGGAGCAGCAGAUAUUUAUGGCAAACAGAGUUUUCCAAUGAGAUUUUUUUUUUGAAAUAGUUUUAUCCUGUUAGUGGUAGAGGGGAAAAUAAUUUUUGACUUCAAAUUGAGCUUAAUAUGGACAUCAUAGAAUCUUUAAACGACUGAAUCAGGGAGGUAACAGGGUAUCUAUCCAGGACUUAAUUUGGGUCGGACUUCCCAAUCAGAUUAUUCUAAUUUGAAGCAUAGAAUUAUUUGUCCUGUUCAACGAGAUCAUCUUGAUAUAGUUUGUACAACUUUAUGGCUGAUAUGUGGAUUAAGCCUUCAAGAUUGCAAUACUGUGUAAAAUGAAACAUGCAACAUAUACCAUUCUAUAAUAUUUUGAAGUGUUACUGAGGUUCGAUCUUCCAACCUCAGAAUAAAAACAGGGGUGACAUAACCACCCAUUGCAAUCACAAAAAAAAGAACAAGAAACGCACAUAUACCAUUCUAUAUACCCAUGCAUAUUAUCAUAAAUUCCGUCAACGUUGCUAUAAAAAAUGCAAAUAGAAAUCUAAACUCAAAUCCUAAAGGCUGUAAAUGAUGUGCCCCAAGACAGAAUUUUUUAACAUUCUUAAGAAGGGACUAACUUAUACCAUUACUCUCAAAGCACUUUAGUGAUUUAUACCAUGGCUAGCAGAGACACCAACAUCGCAGAACCAAGGGAGAGAAAUGUGACAGAGAGGGGUAAGCUGCCUUUAUCCUUUCGUAUGAAAAGAGCUUCAUAAAUGGGCAAAUGGAUGGCCACCACCAGCCCGCAGAGAAGAAUUUGAAUGAAUAAUGGCUCAAGACCCAUAAUUCCGCCAUCUUCCACCAGCCUUUGGAGUCCUCCCGCCAAGCAGAAAAGAUUCAGCAUUGCAACUGCUCCUAUGAUAACAAACAUUGAGGAUGAUGAUCCGAAUUCCAUAACCUCCUGCUCGUACCUUUUAGAGGCAUCGCCAUCAGACACCUUUGCUGUGAUUGCGAAGCCCAUCUUAGAAAUCCGCAGCAACUUUAAGAUGGUAGAAGUGAAGCCAUAGAGGAAUGAGGUGGUCCUCCUCAAUAUCCACAUCCUUUGUAAGUUCCACCAUCCAGCCAAUGUGUCACCACAUUGCAGUGAUUCGACGAGCCCAUACGCAUGCUUCCCAAUGGUGACAUAGGCAAAGGGCACGAACCAUGGGCUCGUGAUCUAAUUUUGACAUCAGGAUAUUUAUUUGUGUUAGGAUUCGUUCAAACAUGCAUGCUUGAUGGAAGGGAAAAAGAUAGGCAUAUCCGUACCUUUGGGAAUAAGGAGAUGCCUUUGAGGAGGCAAAGGGAAGGAAUCACAAGGUAAUAGAGUGUAGGGAGUGAGUUUGGAGCCCACAAGCCAUAAAUGCAAUAACCCAUCUGAAGUCCUAGCUUGAUUUUGCCAUGAGCAAGUAUGAAGGGACAGUACUUGGNNNNNNNNNNNNNNNNNNNNGUACCUUUGGGAAUAAGGAGAUGCCUUUGAGGAGGCAAAGGGAAGGAAUCACAAGGUAAUAGAGUGUAGGGAGUGAGUUUGGAGCCCACAAGCCAUAAAUGCAAUAACCCAUCUGAAGUCCUAGCUUGAUUUUGCCAUGAGCAAGUAUGAAGGGACAGUACUUGGAAAGAAAGAUUUGAAAAUUUCCCUCGCUCCAUCUUUUGUAUUGCACCAGCGAUUGUUCUAGUGUUGUGGGAGCAACACCUAGAAAGGCUUUUCUUGGAGGAUUGAUAAAGGCGGACUUCCACCCCCUACAUUGAAUUAAUAGGCCUGUGAUGACAUCCUCCACAGCACACUCAUACUUCAGCCCAAUCUGCAUUAAAUGAAAGAUAAAUAUAUAGACAGAUAGAUAAAUAAAUAGGUAGAUAUAUAGAGAGAGACCUCCUGUCCCCAUUGGGUGUCGUGCUCAUAGGUGCUGGUAAUAAGAGACUUUGCUCUCUCUUCCAGUGUGCAAGCACUUCUAGCCGUUUUCCUCUCAAUGCCUCUCUUCCAGUCUUCCUUGUAAUCCUUGCUAUACUUCCUCCCGCAAAGAGCCUCUCUUCUGUGGAAGCAUCCAGUGCCAAUAUAGAGAGUCCCUCCCCAACUAUCCAAGCCAGGGUGGUCCACCUUAAAAGACAUUCAAAAUGGUUUUAUUAUUAGGUCCUUGUAAGACAUUCAAAAUGGUUUUAUUAUUAGGUCCUUGUAAGACAUUCAAAAUGGUUUUAUUAUUAGGUCCUUGUAAGACAUUCAAAAUGGUUUUAUUAUUAGGUCCUUGUGCGAUUUAAUAUCAAAAUUCACACUAACUACUUGAUUGGUAUUAUACUCCAAACUGGAUAUUGCCGCGAUCUCUGUUGACUCCAAGGAUGUGUUUGUGGAACUUUGUACAAGACUAGAGAAACAUAACUGAAACCUCGAUUGUGGUGAGCCUUUGCUAGUACUAACCUGAGUGAUCACAUUAAGGGAAUUGCCAUAGAGAUCAUUCUUGGUGAUAUUAUGAAAGACCUGGGGAUAUUGUACAAAGCCAAUGUCCUGACCCUUCUCUUCAUCCAGGAAGAAGCACAAUGCUUGUCUGAUGGACUCCGAGUUGUUUGAGUACAUGUCGCAAUCCAGGUUGAGGAUGAUUGGGCUGUUGCUUAUCUCUGAUGACGCCCUUAUCUGUACAUCAGGUUGCAUUGUUUAAAGAUAUUUUUUUCAUAAAUUUCAUUUCAAAAUCAUAAUAACCUUGCAUUGUUAUUCAGACCAGGUGCAUAUUCAAGAUCCAUUUACAGCCGAUUCUAGAUUGAUCGUGUUAUUCUUCUAAAAAAUAAUUGAUUGUGUUAUUAAAACUCCUAUUGAAGCCAGUUGUCUAGAAAGUAUGCCAAUUCCAUAUUGUGGACUACCCAAAGAGAGGAUAUUAAUCGAACAUCUGAUUCUGCUACCUGCUUUCAUUUAACCCUGCAUCUGUAGACUAAGCCCAGGACUACUUACAGGGCUCAACUAACUACAACAGGUCUAAAAGCUCAUGCAAAUGAGGAAAAAAAAAGGAAAGAAAGGAAAAAGAAAGCAAGCCUAUCUCCCAAAAAUUGUGAGAAAAAUCUAACAUAGUUAUAUUACCAAUGCGUUCAUAGCCCCUGCUUUGAAGUUAUGAUGAUGCUGAGGUCUCUUCUCUCGUGCCAUAUACACCAAAGUUGGUAAUGCAUUUCCAUCACUGUCUAUUGAACCUUGGUCUCUCCCAUCAAUUAUGAUCUGCAAAAAGCAACAAAGAAAAGCAACAUAAUUAGCUCUAGUGAGACAGCUCUAAUCGCCCCACAUUUGAAGGAUGGGCACAACCUCUAAACUAUAGCUUAGUUCAGUUCGUCCAUAAUUUAUGCUGUACAGAUCCAAAACACCUUUUAUGAUUUCACCAAUUACAUUUCCUACUCUACCAGUAUAUUAGAUUCCUUUCUAAGACACGAACCAAUAGGCUCUUCCUACAGUCCAGCAUAGAGUUUAAACAACUAGUUUAAUUUUCAUAAGAAAACUUUAUAACUUGAAUUCAUGUCCCAAUUAUCCCAUUCUAAAAUAAUUCAAAAUUCUAUGCAAUAAGGGUUUUCUCCCAAUAAGGUCUUGUUUUGUUCUUCCAGUACCAAGUGUAGUAGUACCUGAACGAUGGGUGGAUGAUUCCGUGAAGUCAUCUCCGAGCUCCAUUCAGAAAAUCCUUUAUUUGCUUUGAGUUCUUCAGGGAUCUUGCCUAGCAUUACCACCGAAUCGAUGCGAUCUGCCAUCUCUUCAUAUAGAUUCUGAGAAAUGGGAAAAUAUGAUGACAAAUUAAAUAGAAACAAGUUGUUGGCUUGUUUUAUGCCAAUUUACUACAAGCACUCCUUUCACUGAACAAAGCUUUUUUCAAACACCGAAUUAGAAAUUAAGGUUGACCAUGUGCCGGCUAAUGGGUCAAUAUUUAUAAAAAUUGAGCCAUGCCACUUGGUCAUACUAUUACCUUCAUGAAAGACCAUUCGGUAGGGAUGCAUGCAUCGCGGGGGUCGCAUAAUUUGGAAAAAUAGGCAGCUGGCGACCGUGGCUCCACAUUAUAUUUCUUGCAAAAUGGAAGCCAAUACUUUGCAAAGUGAGAUGCUUCCCAAAGGGCGUAGAAGGUCAGAACAGACCCAGCAUCAUCAGAGAGAUAGACAUUUAGUUUCUCGGGAGGGUAAUUGUAAGCCAUGGUUGAGAGGACAGUGGAGAUGACUAGGAUGGGUGGCUCUGCAAUAGGGUCAGCAGUGCACACGAAUAUGUCCACGUUUGGUAACUCAGUUUCAUCUCUGUUUCCAAAGACAAAAAUAAGAAAAUUAUACAUCAAUACAACUUGUGAUGCAUAUGAAUGCACAUUUUACAUCCGUCAUGAUUUUUUUUUUUGAAUGCAUGGAUCCUGGAGUAGAAUAGAAAUGAUAUAACAUAGAAUAUUUUUUUCUACAAAAUUAAGAAUGCGACAAAGCUUGGCCAAAACCAAGUAAGGGCUAGAUCCAAAUGCAGAUCAUUAGUAUCAAUAUAUGAUAAUUUGCCUAGCUAAGUUAGCUAGCACCCUUAUGAUAUAGCAUGAAAUUGUAUUCCCCUUGUAAGACCUUAUUUUUGUCCUUCUCUCUAGGAUUUUUUUUUUCUGAAUGGAGGGAUGAAAUAUUUUUGGUCCUAUCCAAGUAAAGUUUUGGGAUAAACAUUUUUCGCCCAGGACCAUUCUUUUUUAAAUUUUGUAGUAGUGUGUUUUCAAAUUUUGAAGCCUAAAAUAUGGUGCUCCAACAUUUGUUAAGAGUAAUAUGCUUAUAGAUUCAAACAUAGCUAAAAAUUUGGGUUUCAAACUUAUUUGAAACGUUUUGCAUGGUAAGAUAGGAUUUGAACUGGUUGGCAUCCUCUUCUUAUUGGGCAGGUAAAAUCAUUGAUUUUUGUCACCAAUGUUCUUGGUAUAAUUGUACUUUUAUUGUAACAUGUGGCAGACUUUUUUUUCCCCUACUUUUAAAAGAAUAAAAAUUUAUGCAAGCUAGACUAAAAGUAUGAGCAAAAAUAAAACAAGAAUGGGUUAAAACUUAUUAAUUUUGUCCGCAAAUUGAUUUUGAUGGGACUUGUUAUGAGAUAUUUUUAUUAAAAAAAUUAUAUUAUAGACAAAAAUAAAAUAAAAAGAAAAAUAAAUUUAGGUUAAUAUAAUAGUAUUAGGUCUGUCUGUUGUACAGUAAAUUUUAUUUUGAUUCGAAUAUUACUUGAAUUAUUUAAUAAAAAUAAUGUUGAAAAUUUAGUAAUAUUUUUAUAUAAAAUUAUUUUCAACUAAAUAUAAAAAUAUUUUUUAAUAUUGAUUUUCAGAAUAAAUUUUACAUCAGUAAAAUAUUAUAUACUUCAUUUUUUUCUCUAAUUAUUUUUAAAGAUAAAUAAUUUUUAAAAAAUAAAAUAAAUUUGAUUUACUUCGGCCGACCAAAUUGUACAAAUCUGAUGGCCGUCACGUUAUUGGAGAGGUACAGCUGUCCAUUGUACCACGGAAUCCGACAAAUUUAUGGUCUUGUUUAGCAACCGUCGUCUUCACGAGAGACUGAUAUGAUAGCUAUCAAGAAAUUUACAGGGCAACAGACUGACGCAUGGCAGAGAAUUCGAGACGCUUAAACCAACUUGACGUCGACCAGGUCGCCGCCUAUCCCAGCCUGAACCCAUCCCCCAACUCUCUCGGCCGCUACCCACUCGGCAUUCUGCUGGCCCACCCGUCCGUCCAUCAAUGAUUCUUAUUUCACAGAAACUAUAAUUCAUAACAUCAGGUCUCAUGAAACUUUGGAAACUGAAGCAGUAUCCCCUAGAAACUCAAUCCAUGGCGGCAUAGCUUUGAAAGCUCCAUUUUUUUUCUUUUUGCUUAUCAAAGAAAAAAAAGAAAAGAAGGGACGGCUUAAAUGUUGGUAAACGAUUCCCUCCAAGAUAAAUUCUUUACCAGCAAAGAUUACUUUAGCGAGAACGCUAAAUUAUAUGUGGGUAAAAGACUAGUUAAGUGUAGACCGAGCAUGAUAUGUGGGCAUGUUCUUUCUUUUUUUCUUAAAAAAAUAAACGGAAGAAGCUAAGAAAUAUGCGGGCAUGUCAAUUAUGAAUGAGAAUUUUACCGCUGAGAGAGCUUCUCGGUGUGAGUGAAACGAUAGAUGGGGUUCCAGCGCACCGACUGAGUGAUGAUCCAGUAGAAGCCGAACCAAAGCUCGGCUGCAAAUAUCCCCAUCCAUGCCCAUCUCCCUUCUUCUCCCCAUCUCGGGACAUGAGUCGCUCUAUAGAACCAAAUCGAACAAAUGCCCGCCAGCAUCGAGCAUGCAAACAACUUGUAAGCAAACCUACCUUUGGCUUGCUUUGUUUCAAAGAGAGCUUCAUAACUCUCUGCCAUCUCUCUCUCUUCCUCUCUCUCUCUUUGUGUCUCUCGCGUUUGUAGCCGUGAGAUAAGUUGGUUAUAUAUAGAGCGUGGUAGGAGACAAAAUUUAAUAUGGCCACAGGUCAGAUUAAUAAAUACUUAUUCGACAUGGAUAGUAAGUAAAUAAUUUCCUUCACGAGAGUGUGGAUAACAAUUCUGUGGUGAGGCCUUCUCAAAAUCUUCAAUGAUGAGCUCAAUCUAUGGCCCAUACAGGGGCGGCCCAAUACAUUUGGGGGCCUAAGGCGAAUCCAAUGAAUANNNNNNNNNNNNNNNNNNNNCUAUGGUAGCAGAAAAUGUGACCAAAGAAUGGAUUUUAUGAAAAAUUCAUUCAUAAGGGUUUGGUUAUGAUGGUUUAGUAAUAUAGUGAUCGUGGAAGGUUAUACGCCAAUCAAAUAGGUGUUAUUUCCGCCAUGGUUCGUAUUAUUAUUCUCAAAGUAGUCAAACAUAAAGUUUGCCCGACUUGAUAUCAGAAUAAAAGGAAUAUGCGUAUAAAGAUUAUAAAAUUCAAGUGCUAAGGAUAUUUUACUUGUCAAUAUGGUCCAAGUGGGAGAAUGUUGGGAUCCCGUCAAGUUGUGGCCCACAUUGACAAAUGGCGUCAAUAUGGUCCAAGUGGGAGAAUGUUGGAUCCUAUUUAAUUAAACCCUGAUCCCGUUUAAUUAGAACCCACAUCUUGACAAGUGUCCCUUGAAUUUCGUAAAUCUUGAUAAUCACAAGGGCAUUAAGGUAUUUUCACAGCAGUGAAGGGUUACCUUGAUGGGGGGUGACUCUUCACGGGUGUAACCACCUGCAGCGUUUGGUCCCUGGAGAGGGCUAUAAAUAGCCUGUUAGACCCCUUCUCUAAAGCACUCAUUAAGAGCUCUCUCUCCAGAAGAUCUCUCGCUAAUCUUUGUUCAGAUCAUCGGUGGUCGAGGCUGCGCACGCAUUCCAAAGUUUAAUCCGGAUGGAUAUAGCGACACAAGGUAUGAUUUAUGAAUUAUUAAAGUUAAUCAUUCCAUCAACAGCUCCAUAAAGUUAAUGGCAUCAAAGAUGCCUACCGAAGAGCUAACUUGAGCUUGACAUUCACUUAAGGUUCGGUAAAUGGAAAUAAUAUUCCCCUUAUGUACAACAUAGAAUGCAUUAACAUCCUCCAUUGACAGCCAAGGAUCUACUUCUGGCUGAAACAAACCAGUUAUGCAUAAAGCAAAGAAUAGCUAAACAUAAGCUUAUCAACAGAAAUUUUAAUUUAUAUCCACCAAAUACCAACAUGCAAAUGCCUCGACUAUGCUGUAGACAGAGCCAAACAAAGAACCUCCAAGAUGAUUCAUCUUUUGUGAAAAACAUUGUCGACCAAACUUAUCUCAGUUGGUAGCAUCCCACUCGUCAAGGCAGACAUCCCAAGUUUGACUCAGGAUGAUACUCCCACUGUAUUUCUCAAGAAAAUAUUUUUUUGUGAGAAUAUCAAUGAAGCAUUUGUGCAUCAAAUGCAGUUCAUCAAAGAGUUUCGAUUUGUUAUCUUGUUAAGACGAGGGAAAUUGAGAUUAAAAUCAUACGAAAGUGUAAUUUGAUCUAAUCAAGGGGUGAUAAUUUGCAGCUAUUUUGAAUCUGCUGAAAAGGUAUCCAUGAAAAUGGAAUCUCAAAGGUAGUAUUUUGUUCGAUAAAAAAUGGCAUACUUUCUAGUAAAACAUAUUGAACUCCCUCCACUCAUUCAUCAGCAUCCCAGAGAAACAAGUUAUGACCUACUGGUCAAUUAUAAAUACAGUAUGACAGUACAAGAUCAGUAUACUAUAAAUCAAAGCAUUUACUGAAAACUGACAAAAUAUUUACUAAAACAUGAUUUCUGGAAACAUAAAGUUAGAGUGGUAUCAGUAUAAGUAUCCACUUUUUAAUUCCUAUCAACUACAAUUUAUAAAAACUUUCUGUUAUGGCCACAGCAGACACAAGAAACUCGGAUAAUAAUUAUAAAAACAACGCCUAUUUUCUUAUGCAGAUGUCAUGGUCAAAAACACUAGCUAUACCCCCGAUUUCCAAUAAUGCAUUUGAACGAUUGUCACUGAUUUGAUUGGACUUCGUAUCCAAGGCCCCAUACAUGGUCUUACGACUUUUCGGAGACCUAGGGGAAGGGCGGGAAGAGCAAUUAAAGUCAUUUUUCUAAAUUCAUCUGUUUCUAAGUAUACCCAUUCCUAGGGCCCUCGGAGGGUGGUCGGAUCACUAGACAAGAGAGGAACGAACUGAACCAAUACUCGAAGAGAGAAAACGAGAGUGAAGGUCCUUUUUCUCGUUGACUGGCCCUUGUUGCAAGUUUAGAAGCAGAUUUCAAUUCUAUUCCUUUUUCUUCCUUUUCAGCCAGUCUUUCUUACUUUAAGGAUUUCUGGGGAAGGCCGCCUAACUAACUUGAAUCAUUAAUCAUAUAUUUUAUUUACGAUACCAAGAAAUUAGGAAAGCCGUCCCUCUUCCAUUCGGAGCAAGCAUCGUAAUCGUACCGCUAUAAAACUUUUCAUAGGAGGAAAGGUCUCCUCUACUGUCCAUUCGCCUUCCUUGGUGAGUCCGGUUUUCUGUGCUACGUUAUUCUUAGAUCCAGCGAAAUCAUUGGUUUCAGAGUCCACUGUCUUUGUUGUCUCAAUGAACACAAACCCGAUUGUAAACUUUAAUGUUUAGAAACCAUCCCAUCCCCUGAUAUCCCGAAAGUUCCCGAGAGAAUAAGACCGCAUUGAGAAAACAAAAGAGCAGAUAAAGGAGCAAAGUCCUCUCUUUCAACUCUAGCCAUUCUUGGCUUGGUCACAUGCAACCAUCAAGAAAGAAUGGAUUGAAUUGGACCUAAAAAAGCCAUUCAGGUUCUUUUGCAGACCUCGAAAUCUCAUCGCGAACAAUUUGACGCUGCUAUCUAUUUGAUAUUGAUAGAAGAAUAUCCUAUAAAAGAUGGGAAGGGGAGGGGGUUCGGGUGAGAGGCAUCAGACGCUAGCUCAGAUGAUAAGACGUAGCAGCUGUUAGCUUUUAGCUUCUUCAAUGUCUUCCCUCUCAUAGAUGAGGAGACGCGGACGUUAAGACAUGUAACAAGAGUUAGAUAACAAGAUACCCGAUACUACAUUCUGAGGGCUAACUUCUAAAGCAAUCACGGUAAGUUCACUUCGGGAAUCAAUACAAUAAGAUCUAAUUUUUUUGGAAUUUGAAAUAAUGUGAUGGGCGAACGACGGAAAUUCGCUGCUUUUCCCAGGCCGGAGAAGGGCAACACAUUAAUAGGUUGGUUAAUUGCCCACAAUAUCUCAAAGUCGCUUGAUGGCCGAAGCACUCCCAAGGCGGCGUUGGAAAUCAAGACCAGCUCAGAGAAUCACUGGAGAGAGCUCAGAAAGCGAAAACACAAAGGCUCCGGCUGAGAUCGCCGGAUAGGUGGGAGAGCCGUGCUUCUCCACGCCCAACGAGAUGCGCACUAAAAUAUGUCUAUGGUUAACUAAUUGCCUAGCUCCAGGAAUGGUCGAAGCCAUACCCAAUCGAAAAAGGAUGUUAUAUUCCAUUCUUUGGUCUGUAAAAUCCCUACUCUUCUUCUUUUUCUUAGCCAUCAAUGAUUAGCCUGUCCCCAGCCCAAGUUAAGUAUAAACAGUCCGAUUUUGAUCUGAAUUGUCUGCGGAAAGAAAUUGUGGGCCCCAGGAAUGGGUAUACUUAGAAAUAGAAGUCAAUCCUGAUUUCCGGUUAGUAGGAUGGAGCUAUACGCAAGCCAAUGCCAAGUGCUUUGACUUUUUAAAAAAAAGAGGUUUCAAUCUCAGGCCUUAUUUCUUUGGGGAUGAGAGGAGUGCUCUCUGAACUCACUCGAUAAUCGGGCGUUAGAGCGAUCCCUGCCGCUACCGAUUUCGGGUCUAUUAGUUGCUUCUUCCCUAGUCUCCAUAGCUAAAUGGCGAUACCCCCUGCAGUUACCUCUAAAAGGAAUGAUCUCGGGCAUCAAUCUAAAGAGAGUUUGCCACCAUUCUCUUUCUUUCCUCAAUCGUUCCGACCUUGAGUCAAAACAAUCUCUAUACUCUUCCAGCAAUUCUCAAGUCGUAGCCCGUCACCGUCUAUCGAGCAGGGUGGGGAAGAGGAAUCGACGAAGAAUCCAGUCAUCAGUCUGCAGGGAAUAGGGUAGGUUAUAUAUAAAGUGAGAUUGAAGCAAGAAGAUCUCCGAUGAAGAAGCUCCGGGAGGAGAGGGAUGUCAAGGGAUUGCUGAGACCUCAGGUAGCAGAACAUUUAUGUGGCACGGCCGGUGUACCUCCAAAGAUGGGUUAUUCAGGGGUUGAAAGUUUAGAUUUACCUAUUUUUUUCAAUUAAAUAGCUCAAAAAUAGGUGGAGUUCGCGUGGAUAGAGGACGUCGUGCACGGACGAAAGAUCAUUGAUAGCAGAAGAGUACGCUAGCUAGCUAGCGUAGCCUGAAAACACUUGCUAGGCUACGACGUUCGCCUACUUUGAUAGGCAACGCAUUGCAAGCAAAUAUCCUUUACGGGUCCUUUUCUUUCUUUUCCUUGGGUGUAGUGUCACACCCGUCUCCUAUAAGACUCUCAAGGGGUGAUGAGCCAUCCGCAAUAUGGUAGCAGUAAGCGCGCGUACUCCUUCUGCGAGACUCCAUCCAAAUCCGCAUACUUCUUCAGUCGAAUGCUCCUCUGGGCAAAAGGAAGAAUCAUUAAUCCUUAAUGUAACUAGAUAAGGUAACAAAUGUUAUUCACACGCGGAAGACAGUGAGCUAGGUUAGUUAGCGAGCUCCUAACUAACCUAGCGAACGGAACAGGAACUCUUUUCGUUUAGGGCGAAUGCGGCCUAAUUUAUAAGGCGAGAGCUAAAACCCAUGCAGUCUGAAAUCUGUAUCCGAAGGGGACAGACUUGUCGGCAACCAACUUCACUCCAGUUGGUUCGGAUAGGCUGCGACCUUACAUGAAUUGAAUAGAUGCAUUUCACGGAAUUCUGAAAUUCCGCUUCGACACCCUCUCGAAGAAGUGGUUCUCAAACCGGAACCAGAACUCUUGGAUCAGCCCGACAUUGACGGGGGGUAAAGGAUGCUAGGCUUUUAGCUCUGUUAGAUCGUUAGCUCAUUCGCUCGCUGAAAUUCUGGAAAACCGGAUUUCAGAGUAUAGGAAUAUUCCCCCUGAGGGGGACGUGUUCUUCAUGUAGCCUUCAGACCGAAUGAGUUCAGAAGUAGCUGCUCUCCUAGCUGCACAAGCACACCAUGGGCACCCAUUCUCAACCACCUGUUCAGGCUGCUGAAGGAAACUAACCAAACCAAGCGAGGAGUAAUCGAAUGUUGUUCGACUUUCUAGAGCGUUUAGCUGCAGUGGUUGCUGUUGAAACUGACAUUCGAACGGUUGACUCAGUAAAGUUGACCGUCUUCCACGCGUAGCUGUGCCCGGCCGAGGGGACUUUUUCCCCAAUGAAAUGACCCAAGCCACCACACAAUGCAAGGCUAGUGGUAUCAGUUGAGUGAAUCGGUCGAAUCUUGCCCACCAAGCGAGCCCUUUAAUUCAAUUCUUCAUUCUUUAAUUAAGAAUUAAUCAAAUCUCCGAGGUACCUGCGAAUGCUUAUGGAUGGAAACUGGCCAUCCGCCGAGAGUUUCGGGUUUAAUACCGAUAUUUUAGCAACAAAUCAUUUCGACAGAGAAAGUACGAUCUGCUUAGAUUUCCAACAAGUCUCUCUUUUUUUGGGGGUAGCAGACAAAGAAUAAAAAAAAAAUGCUUUCGUCCAUCUGGCCUAGUCGAAGAUUUCGAAAUACGACUUUUUUAACCGUAUAGUUCCAGCGCCAAAGCCGUCGAAAGGUAACUGAUGCAAAGAAGGAAAGGUAACUGAUGCAAAGAAGGAGCUGUUCAAGUGAGCUUAUUAGUGGCACGCUUUCGAAUCGGUGAGCAGUUCAGUAAGCAAAGUAGUUCGGGUGAGGAGGGUUUGGCGAAGAUUUGUUCCACUUUUGGAAGACCUUGUGUUAUGUCACCAGAUCUCGAUUUUUCAUAUACAAAUGUAACUAAUGUAUCUCCUUCGUAAAGGAUUUCUCAGGAAAAAUCAGACUUCCGCUUAAGUCCCAGUUUGAGGCGGUCAUUAAUGAAUUCUUCCUUUCAGUUCUCUUCGAUGAAAAGGGGGGGGGGGGUACCCCCACAGGAAUGGAAUACCUUUUCCUCUUCCUUUGACUGCUUCUUUACUGCUCAAGCGCAUCCUCUAGUUCUGGUUCCACCUUGUUGAAGAUUUGGUGGUGCUACCCGAAGACUUAAAUGAAUAGCCAUUGCUGUUAAGAACAACCGAGAGGCCGCCUAGCUCGUUAUUCUUUGAGAUCUGGCUCCCCCUAGUGAGUCCAUUGAUGAAAAGCCAAAUGCUUUGAUUCUGGAUGUCCUCCUCCCCGAAUCUGCCAAUCCUAUCUUUCGAUCUGGAGAUCGAACUAAGUGAAAGUCCGAGUAUUCAGUCCAGGAGAGUUUGGUAUGAAAAGUUAGAGAGUCUCUCUGUACCAAAUAAGACCUUUCCAGAUGCAGGAUAUUUAUCGGAUGGGCUGUCUAUUUCACCAGAAUAGUCAUCUGUCACACUGGUGGUACUUCUUGUUGAAUUAAAAGAUUGGAUUAGUCUUUCUGUACCCACCCGCCAUCCCUGUUUGAGAGUGAUUAAAUAUCAAUAGGGGAAUUUGUCGAACGAACCGCACUCCUUCGUAUAUGUCAGGAGUCUAUUGAUGAAAAGGGGUUGGGGAAAGCUUGAACCCAAUUUCUACAGUGAUGGAUAUAAGGACAAUUGAAAUUCCUGGGGAGUUAUACAUUUAUGUAUUGAUAAGACCAUUCACUAUUUCUUGAAGCUCGAUCUCCCCCCCAGAUAAACCAUAUAGCCAAGAUAAACCAUGAACCAGAAUAGAAGAGCUUGCCCCACCCAUGAGUA